AUACUCUGGUUUCUCUUCAGAUCGUAUAAAUCUUUCGCCUUUUACUAAAGAUUUCCGUGGAGAGGAACAAUUCUGAGUUUUUACUCAAUUUUUUGAGGCCUUGCUUUUGCAAGGCU
Molecule: small nuclear RNA, 116 nt
Organism: Capra hircus (goat)
Lineage: Eukaryota; Metazoa; Chordata; Mammalia; Artiodactyla; Bovidae
Gene: U5
Rfam family: U5 spliceosomal RNA
About the family: U5 RNA is a component of both types of known spliceosome.
Source: Ensembl